AACAAACAGCAUUUGAAUAACAAGACAUGUUUUUUUGUUGAAGCUUAAAGCAACACAGAUUUUUUUCAAGAUUUCGAACUAAUGUGUAUUUAUAUUAUUAGACAGAUGCAUUUACGCUAUAUAUAGUAGUGACUAAAAGUGUGUUGUUAAAAUCCGUAAUAUAUUCAUAAGUUACAAGAGAGGUGUAUUGGAUGUUUUGUUUUUUAUUUAAAAGUGAAAGAACUGAGAUUAAAAUCCACAGUAGGUGACCUCCACGUUGUGAGAUUUGGAAACGGCUAGCUAUCCCGCUGUCUAACUCCAUACAAACCAAACUCAGAUACGAAUCUCGAGUAAGGGACCUCCACGUGGUGAGAUUUGGAAACGGCUUAACAUCACGCUGGCUAACUCCUUACACACCAAUAUGUUUCUCCUUAUCAACUUAUAUAUUGCCGUGUGUCUAUGUGAAUGUAUGGCCGCAACAGAAACAUCAAUAAAAUGGGAUGUAAAAACCAAAUCUGUCACCUACGGCGAAGAUACGACUCUCACCUGCAAUGCAAAUACAUGUUUACCUUACUCAAGUAAGCAGUGGUUUGGAGGUCCAAACUACGAUUUGUUGUGCUCAGACGAUUACACAGCAAAUCCAUAUAAAUAUGAAAUGGUGGUGGAAUCUACCAGUCCUAACUUUGAUCUCAUGAUAAAAAACUUCACAUUUAGUGACGCAGAUUGUAAAUAUACCUGCGUUUGUGGGUUGCUACACUUUACAAAAAUGCUGACAUUGAAUAGUUUAGAUUUCAUUUAUCCGCCAGUCUUAAAAGAAAAUUCUCAGGAGGCAAUAGCAAACAAAUUUCAGAUUGACCUGUUGAUGAAAGUAUAUCCUUUACCAAAUUGCAACAUUAUAUAUCAGGAAAUGAAUAUACCACUUAAAAUAACAAACUACACCACAAAGACGUACAAUCACACGGGCUGUUGUACAUUGUAUGACAUUAGGAUACAACAAAUAGUAGAUAUAAAUCACGUUAGCUGUAGUGGAAAUAUCAAUUUGACUUGUAAAGUUGCAGAUCGAAAUUACACCCUUACUGAAAAGAACAUUGAUUCAUGUACAAAAGUACCAUUUUCUAAUGUGAAUAACCCUUACUGGUCAACGCCUGUAAAAUUGAUUGGAAUAGUAGCUUUGAUAUUUCUAUUCGUAUUGGUGGUUAUAAUACUGUUGUGGAUAUACGUAAAAAGAAGACGCCGUCAUGACCAGACGGAGAUGAGUGUGUAUUAUAAUUAUAGACAGCCAAUGAUUUAUAGAUAACAAUAAGGAGAUAUGGUACCAUAGCCAAUGGGACAACCACUCACCACUUGUUCAAAUGAAGUGGAUUUAAGCAAUAAUUGGACAACUAUACGGCCUUCAACAAUGAGAAAGAACCAUACCGUAUAGUUGGCUAUAAAAGGCCCCGACAUGAAAAAUGGAAAAAAAACCAGAACAAAAUUUGUUUAAGAUUCUAAAAGAAAAUGAUAUAUUUGGCCUGGGUAAAAUACAAGAUAGAAAAAAGUAAUCAACGUCUGAAAAUUAACUUAUUUAGACGGUUUGGGUUUUUUAUGAUUGUUGAAGAUCCGUUCCACUUGGACUCUGUUGGAUAGUUUUCUCAAUUAAAAUCCUACCAUAUCUCCUUAUUGUCGUAGAGAGUAGGACAAUGCCGAUAUAGACGAUUUUUAUUCUUAUAUUCGUUAUUAUAGGUUACGAAAAACACAUGCACUUUCAUUUUGUCCGCAUACUAUAACAUUUACUCGGUUAUAAGAACAGACAAUUUAUAUGUUUGCACAUGUGUGUUAUCUUGUUUGUUUCUUUUUCAUUAAAAACAAGUAAAGAAGUUUGCAACUCUAAA
This is an RNA transcript of Mytilus californianus (California mussel), 1850 nucleotides long. RefSeq lists it as uncharacterized. The transcript has 9 exons. The record is from RefSeq and is a predicted model, not a curated record. NCBI's taxonomy places the organism in Eukaryota, Metazoa, Mollusca, Bivalvia, Mytilida, Mytilidae.